This 524-nucleotide ribosomal RNA is filed under the name Cavia porcellus (domestic guinea pig). Its description in RNAcentral is "partial 16S large subunit ribosomal RNA". It matches the Rfam family "Bacterial large subunit ribosomal RNA", at positions 1818 to 2569 of the family's 2925-position model. Lineage: Eukaryota; Metazoa; Chordata; Mammalia; Rodentia; Caviidae. The record is from RNAcentral.
ACCUCUAGCAUACUUAGUAUUAGAGGCACUGCCUGCCCAGUGACAUUCGUUCAACGGCCGCGGUAUCCUGACCGUGCAAAGGUAGCAUAAUCACUUGUUCUUUAAAUAAGGACUAGUAUGAAUGGCAAGACGAGGGUUUAUCUGUCUCUUGCUUUACGUCAGUGAAAUUGAUCUUCCCGUGAAGAAGCGGGAAUAAUAUAAUAAGACGAGAAGACCCUAUGGAGCUUUAAUUUAUUAGCUUACUUAACCAAUUUUUAACCCAUAAGGGCAUAACACAUACACUUAAACCUAAGCUAGUAAUUUCGGUUGGGGUGACCUCGGAGUACAAUAAAACCUCCGAAUGAUAUUAGCCUAGAUCCAACAAAUCGAAGUUUAAAUCACCAAUUGACCCAAAUUCCUUUUGAUCAACGGACCAAGUUACCCUAGGGAUAACAGCGCAAUCCUAUUCUAGAGUUCAUAUCGACAAUGGGGUUUACGACCUCGAUGUUGGAUCAGGACAUCCUAAUGGUGCAGCAGCUAUUAAG